AUUGAACGCUGGCGGCAGGCUUAACACAUGCAAGUCGGACGGUAACAGGGAGGAAGCUUGCUUUCUUUGCUGACGAGUGGCGGACGGGUGAGUAAUGCUUGGGAAUCUGUUUCAUGGAGGGGGAUAACUACGGGAAACUGUAGCUAAUACCGCGUAAUAUCGAGAGAUUAAAGUGUGGGACCGUAAGGCCACAUGCCAUAGAGUGAGCCCAAGUGGGAUUAGGUAGUUGGUGGGGUAAAGGCCUACCAAGCCGUCGAUCUCUAGCUGGUCUGAGAGGAUGACCAGCCACACUGGGACUGAGACACGGCCCAGACUCCUACGGGAGGCAGCAGUGGGGAAUAUUGCACAAUGGGCGCAAGCCUGAUGCAGCCAUGCCGCGUGAAUGAAGAAGGCCUUCGGGUUGUAAAGUUCUUUCGGUGGUGAGGAAGGUUGUAAUGUUAAUAGCAUUAUAAUUUGACGUUAGCCACAGAAGAAGCACCGGCUAACUCCGUGCCAGCAGCCGCGGUAAUACGGAGGGUGCGAGCGUUAAUCGGAAUAACUGGGCGUAAAGGGCACGCAGGCGGAUACUUAAGUGAGGUGUGAAAGCCCUGGGCUUAACCUAGGAAUUGCAUUUCAUACUGGGUAUCUAGAGUAUUUUAGGGAGGGGUAGAAUUCCACGUGUAGCGGUGAAAUGCGUAGAGAUGUGGAGGAAUACCGAAGGCGAAGGCAGCCCCUUGGGGGGAAUACUGACGCUCAUGUGCGAAAGCGUGGGGAGCAAACAGG
Molecule: ribosomal RNA, 762 nt
Filed under: uncultured bacterium
Lineage: Bacteria
Description: bacterial SSU rRNA
Rfam family: Bacterial small subunit ribosomal RNA
Source: RNAcentral